CCUACGGGCGGCUGCAGUGGGGAAUAUUGCACAAUGGGCGCAAGCCUGAUGCAGCCAUGCCGCGUGUGUGAAGAAGGCCUUCGGGUUGUAAAGCACUUUCAGCGGGGAGGAAGGCGGUGAGGUUAAUAACCUCAUCGAUUGACGUUACCCGCAGAAGAAGCACCGGCUAACUCCGCGCGCAGCAGCCGCGGUAAUACGGAGGGUGCAAGCUUUAAUCGGAAUUACUGGGCGUAAAGCGCACGCAGGCGGUCUGUCAAGUCGGAUGUGAAAUCCCCGGGCUCAACCUGGGAACUGCAUUCGAAACUGGCAGGCUAGAGUCUUGUAGAGGGGGGUAGAAUUCCAGGUGUAGCGGUGAAAUGCGUAGAGAUCUGGAGGAAUACCGGUGGCGAAGGCGGCCCCCUGGACAAAGACUGACGCUCAGGUGCGAAAGCGUGGGGAGCAAACAGGAUUAGAUACCCCAGUAGUC
Molecule: ribosomal RNA, 466 nt
Filed under: uncultured Klebsiella sp.
Lineage: Bacteria; Pseudomonadati; Pseudomonadota; Gammaproteobacteria; Enterobacterales; Enterobacteriaceae
Description: bacterial SSU rRNA
Rfam family: Bacterial small subunit ribosomal RNA
Source: RNAcentral